CUUUCUUUUUAUUCCAUAUAUGUCAUUUCAUAUGUCUGUCUUUUAAAAUUACCAUUUAAGGGCAUUUUGUAGCGGUGACGGUAAUUUUACGUGGAGUUUACCUACGGCUACCUGCUCGGUACGUCACAAACAAUAUUUGCUGAUGAUGCUGUAUUAUCACGAUUUAUGGCGGGAAAUAUUGUCUCUGAUAUCACUGCACGUAUUUUUUUCGAUUUUACGCCAGUAAUUUCCAUUAAUUUUCGUUAAACACGUUAAAGGUAAGCCUGGAUUAAAGCAAAAAUAAAUAUAGCCUCAUUUGGACGUAAACCAAGUUUAGCAUUUAUGUUAAGUUUUCUCAAUGGCGGACGGAUGCUGGCUCGUUGAGCGUUUCGCUUAAUUCAGGUUAUAUACUCGAGACCACUGUUGUAUACAAUUAAUAAAAAGUGAUUAUGAACAAAGAAAGAGUAAAGCUUUAUCUGGUGAAGAUUAAAGGUUGAAAAAAAAGUGAUUGCGGAGUGGCGUAGAGAAAAUUGUCCUAAUACACUUGCCACUGUUUUAUGAAAUAAUUAACUCCUCGGAAUGUGGGACUCGCCGCAAAUUAGACAUGUAAUAAUGUUUUAUCGUAGACUCAUGUGAAAUAACAGGUUUUAGCCUGCUUACCUAAGCACAGAGCUAGGUACACAUGAUUUGACAAUUUAGAAUUUCUAAAAAUUUACAGCAUUUACUUUGAUUGAAGCCAUAUGUUGUGGUAGUUUAUAUUAAAUUUCACUUAGACAAGGUUGUAGAAAUGUGGGGGCCAUUGUGGGUACUUAGAAAGGUGUUCACAUUCACCUUGAUAAUAUAUCAGUAAUAUAUUUCCAUAGUUUAUGUAAAUAAGCUGUAAGAUAGGACAUUUGGGCAACCAGAAAUUAAGUCAAAGUGGUUUGAUUAUUUUUUUCUUAAAAGGUCAUAUUAUUUAAUAAUUAUGUUCAUCUACCUAUAUUUUCUUUUUAAGUUUUUGGGUCUUUUUCCAUAAUGGAAUGGACAUAAAGAUGUUAUGCAAAUGAAGUGUGUAUUGAUUUUGUUUAUGGUUGUGUUGAGGAAUGGAAGAUAUUAUGAUAAUUUGAUGCUUGCCUGGCAGUUUCUCUAGCCAAUAACAUGGCUGUGGAGUUGCAGGGAAACUUAACAGUGGUAUUCAUGCUAGCUUUUCAUGAUUCUAUCUUGUAUUUAUUGUCAGAAUGAUAAACAUAUAUUUAUUGAUUAUAAAACUAGGGAAAAUGGAUAAUGAUUGGGUGACAUGAUGUUCAUUAUUGCUUAAAUUAGAAGAAAAACUUAGAAGUCCUAAAGGUUGUGUUCAUUGACAUAAUAUUGAUAUAAAAAUGAUUUUUCAUUUCAUUGUUUUUAUGUGAAAGAUCAAUAAAAACUGAAAAAUCUUCCUGGUUCAACCCAAAUGAGAAAGUGUUAUUUCCCAUAAAACUGUGCAAAACAAAGUACAUAUAAGGUAGAUAUUUCAACCUUUGUAUGAUUGUUCAUGAUCACGUGAGGCGAGGCUUAAGUGGUUGUAUUUCCUGAGUUUAGCUUGUUUUAUAAACCAUGUAAUACUGAUGAAAAAUGACAAAGUACCUUUUCAAGUAUUUCCUAUCAUUUGAUCAUUAUUAAUAUUAUAAUUGCUGUUCUGAUGCAAGUUUAUAUUUAAAAAUUACUUUUGAGGAAUCCAGUUAAUAGUGACUGAAUAAAAGUGUGUGACCAUCCUUAAAUAUCAAUUUAAUUUUAGGUGGAAAAAAUCUAGAAGAAAUAGAUCUAUAUAACGGACAAGCCUGUAUCUGAUUUCUGAUCUCUGUCUUGGGGGCUUUGUCUCACUCUGUCCCUCUGGUCAGAUCGCUCUGUGUCUGUACUAGUAGAGGAUGAAUUAACCGCCCUGUGUGGCUGCAAAGCGCCUUUGAACGUGAAAUUGAUCAUGAAAAGGGCGCUAUAUAAAUCUGGUAUAAUAAUAAUAAAGCUACUGCCUUUUUUCCCAAAGUUGUUUAUAUUUAAAGAAGAAAUGAAUACUGAUAGUUUUCUUACUUUUAUAUGGUAACUGUAUAGAUAUUUUAACAAUGAAGUAAAUGUGUGAUCACCUUCAUCAUCAGCAUCAUCAGGAGCAGUAGCAACAACAUAACCUUAGCUAUAUAUGACUGUUUAGUACUGGAUGAUUUGAAACUGUGAAAUAUCCUUACUUUUUGCAAAGUAUUUGAUAGCAUGAUUGGAUAGUGUGAUAAAUUAUCUUCAGUACUCAUUCCAUGAAUUCACUGGACAGAUGUUUAAUUUUUCACCACCAACAGCUCUCCACUGUCUGACAUUGUCUUCAACAGAAAAAAAGGAAAUCAGUGUUUUAGUAAGAAUUAUUUGGUGGCAACAAUGUUUCAGUUUCGAAGAUGUUUUAAUUCAAAGAUUUGAUGAAAUGAUAAUUUAAGCUUGAUCAAUAUUUUAGGUGUAUGUCUAGUUUAUUCCAAGAGAGUGUAUGAUAUGGGAUAUAUAUCCAUUAUUACCUGACAUUAAUUUGUUUAAUUGGAUUAUAUACUUAAACUUAACAACAUUGAUAAUUCCAAGAAUCAAGAUAUUAUUCAAAGCAUUAUAUAAAUCAGCCUGCAUUUAGUAAUCUUUUCUAUUUUCUAGUGCUUUGAAAAAUUCACUUUUGCUUUCGUUCUUUCUGCCCUAACCCCACCCCACUCAUAACUUGAUGUAAUUAUACAUACAGUUGUUGUUGCUGUCCUGUAUUGUGGAGUUAUAAAAAAGAAUAAUUACAGAAUGAUGAUUUAUUGACUUAAACAACUGUAUAAACUCACCUCAGCUGUUAGGGCACCGGGGCACCAGGAAUACCCUGCUGGGCCUUAAUGUUUUGUGUCAACCUUGUAAUUACCUGUUAAUUUUAGUUACUGAUGAUUGAAGAUACCGUCAGUCCGAGUAUAUUCACCUUAUUUAUUCUAAAAACAUCUCUGAUUCAGGGCAGGCAUUUUCUAAAAUUGAUUAGACAUACAAACAAAUGAAAACAGAUUUAUUCUUUUUCUCUUGAAUAUAUAUAUAUUUAUUGAUGUUUAAAGAGAUAGAGGGAGUAUUGCUAUUGUUAAAGAAAUGAAUUUUUUUUUUUUGGAAGUUCAUGUGAAAUGAACGACAGAAUAGGAUCGGCAAAUCAACAUGAAUUGCUGGUUCAUUUUGCAUGAACUCUGAAAAAAAUUUCUUAUACAUUAUAUUUCCUUUCCAUUUGUAAACAAGAUUUUAUUAUAAAUGAUACCCAUUUUGUUGCAUUUAACAUCAAAAUCAGCUUCAGACAGAACAACUGCGACAUACGUCAUCGAAGAAAGUUCUCCCUCCGACUAUACGCGGACGUUGUCAAAACAGCGAGUGGCUCAUUAUCACUAAGCAGUGUUGUCGUAACUUUGGCACCUGUCCUUUUGCUGUUCAUACAAAAGCGAACAUCAUAAUUUUCAAUGGAAAAGAAUAGGGUUAAUAAGUAUUUUUUAGUAUAAAAGAAAGGGGCUUCAGCCUGUAAGAAAAAGGGCAUUAAUUAUGAUGAAUGUAUAUGCAGGUAAGGAAAAAAUAUAUAUGAGUAUGAUAUUAUAAAAAAGAAUUAUGUUAUUCAUGUGAUUAAUUCAGAUGAUGCAAACUUAUAAUACUGUGAAAAAAAUACCUUAGCUGUUUUACAUAGAAUUAACAAGCCAUUUAUGUAAGAAUUUGUACUCUUAAUAUAAAUUAACAACCAAAUUUUCUAUGCUAUAUUUUAGCCCUUCAGGGGCCCCAGCAGUCACCUGUUCUGUACCUGAGUAAACAGUAGAUGAUAGACAGAUCUUGACAGGAUAAGGAUGUGUUAUAGCCCUGAUAAGCCUAUCUGGCUUUCACAUUUGACUCCUGACACAAUAGCACAUUUGAGUUCAUACAGGUAGUCAUAACACCUGCAAAAUGACUUGUGUUGAAAUUAUAGGUUUUUAUCUUUUCAUAAUUUCCUUGCAGAAGUAAAUCAGAUUUGAUGUUUGUGGGUGAGGCAACAUUUUGAUACAGGUAUAAUUUCUGUGUUAAAUAAAGACAAAGAUUUGAAAAAGUCUAAAAUAUUUGAGUUAAGCCAUGUCAUAAAACCUCGAGAGGGAAUUACUAUUUUUAUAUAUUAACUACUGUUAAAUGGUGGUCAAUUGGAUUUUGAUCAUAACAGCCUUUGCCAAAUGAACCAUUAAAGUUCAUGAACUAUUCAUGAUUUGUUCAUUGCAAGUUCACAUGCACAAUUUGUCAAAAAUCGUGAAAAAUUCAUCAUUGCUAAAUGAGAAAAAUCUUGACUUGUUCUUAAAAAUAGCCAUUCAUGAACUGUACAAGAACUGUGAUCAUGAACUUUUCAAGAACAUUUUUUGUCUGAAAUAAUCUCAAAUAUUCCUCAACAGUUCAUGAA
Long non-coding RNA from Mercenaria mercenaria, 4372 nucleotides. RefSeq lists it as uncharacterized. The transcript has 2 exons. NCBI's taxonomy places the organism in Eukaryota, Metazoa, Mollusca, Bivalvia, Venerida, Veneridae. The record is from RefSeq and is a predicted model, not a curated record.